This 511-nucleotide unclassified non-coding RNA is filed under the name Fusarium oxysporum. RNAcentral's name for it is "sequence contains ITS1, 5.8S rRNA gene, ITS2". The stretch from base 163 to 316 matches the Rfam family "5.8S ribosomal RNA". The record is from RNAcentral. Lineage: Eukaryota; Fungi; Ascomycota; Sordariomycetes; Hypocreales; Nectriaceae.
CGGAGGGAUCAUUACCGAGUUUACAACUCCCAAACCCCUGUGAACAUACCACUUGUUGCCUCGGCGGAUCAGCCCGCUCCCGGUAAAACGGGACGGCCCGCCAGAGGACCCCUAAACUCUGUUUCUAUAUGUAACUUCUGAGUAAAACCAUAAAUAAAUCAAAACUUUCAACAACGGAUCUCUUGGUUCUGGCAUCGAUGAAGAACGCAGCAAAAUGCGAUAAGUAAUGUGAAUUGCAGAAUUCAGUGAAUCAUCGAAUCUUUGAACGCACAUUGCGCCCGCCAGUAUUCUGGCGGGCAUGCCUGUUCGAGCGUCAUUUCAACCCUCAAGCACAGCUUGGUGUUGGGACUCGCGUUAAUUCGCGUUCCCCAAAUUGAUUGGCGGUCACGUCGAGCUUCCAUAGCGUAGUAGUAAAACCCUCGUUACUGGUAAUCGUCGCGGCCACGCCGUUAAACCCCAACUUCUGAAUGUUGACCUCGGAUCAGGUAGGAAUACCCGCUGAACUUAAGCA